CAUAGGAAACAAACUCAUUAAUUAAAGAAAUUUCAAUAUUAGAAAGAACAACACUUAGAAAAAAUCAUUCUGUUCCUUGUUUUUGGUUCAACACUCAAUCUUUACCGAUCAAAAACAAAAACUUCGGUGUUGCCUUGAUACUUUGAAAUUUCAACUCAAACAUGGACGUAAACACGACAGCUAGAACGACAUCUAAUCAAACUUCGACUUCAUACUUCGACGCAGUUUUCGACUUCAGUUCGACUCCUACAUAUUCGACUACAAACUUCUCUAGAUUUACAACCGAAUCAAUUAUACAUACGACUUAUAAACCAGAAAAAAUGGAAAAGUACAUUUCAGUACUGAUGGCUACGGUUGGACUUGACACUCUUCAGAUUCCUAUCCUUCUCUUUGUCACAAUUAUCAACGCGUACUGCCUGCUAAUUUUUUUCAAGACGGAUGGGCUGAUGUCACUGGACUAUUUUCUUGUUAUCUGCCAAUGCAUUUGCGAUCUUGUUUUUAACGGUUUGUUUGGAUUUUGUUUCUAUAUUUAUUCGACCUAUCUGUCAAUCUUCUACUUCUGUGGAAGUGGCUCUUUUGUGGA
Symsagittifera roscoffensis is the source of this 583-nucleotide long non-coding RNA. RefSeq lists it as uncharacterized. The transcript has 3 exons. Lineage: Eukaryota; Metazoa; Xenacoelomorpha; Acoela; Convolutidae. The record is from RefSeq and is a predicted model, not a curated record.